UACGUAGGGUGCAAGCGUUAUCCGGAAUUAUUGGGCGUAAAGAGCUCGUAGGCGGUUUGUCGCGUCUGCUGUGAAAACUGGAGGCUCAACCUCCAGCCUGCAGUGGGUACGGGCAAACUAGAGUGCGGUAGGGGAGAUUGGAAUUCCUGGUGUAGCGGUGGAAUGCGCAGAUAUCAGGAGGAACACCUAUAGCGAAGGCAGCUCGCUGGUACGACACUGACGCUAAGGCGCGAAAGCGUGGGGAGCGAACAGG
RNAcentral lists this ribosomal RNA (253 nucleotides) under uncultured bacterium. RNAcentral describes it as "partial 16S ribosomal RNA". It matches the Rfam family "Bacterial small subunit ribosomal RNA", at positions 524 to 776 of the family's 1533-position model. The record is from RNAcentral.